CUCCAUUCCGAACUCAGAAGUGAAACGAAAUAGCGCCGAUGGUAGUGUGGGGUUUCCCCAUGUGAGAGUAGGACAUCGCCAGGC
This 84-nucleotide ribosomal RNA is filed under the name Vibrio parahaemolyticus. RNAcentral also lists the same sequence under 1 other name. Lineage: Bacteria; Pseudomonadati; Pseudomonadota; Gammaproteobacteria; Vibrionales; Vibrionaceae. The record is from RNAcentral.